This 916-nucleotide ribosomal RNA is filed under the name Coniochaeta simbalensis. Its description in RNAcentral is "LSU rRNA". It matches the Rfam family "Eukaryotic large subunit ribosomal RNA", at positions 80 to 1031 of the family's 3401-position model. Lineage: Eukaryota; Fungi; Ascomycota; Sordariomycetes; Coniochaetales; Coniochaetaceae. The record is from RNAcentral.
CUAGUAACGGCGAGUGAAGCGGCAACAGCUCAAAUUUGAAAUCUGGCUUCGGCCCGAGUUGUAAUUUGUAGAGGAUGCUUUUGGCGAGGUGCCUUCUGAGUUCCCUGGAACGGGACGCCAUAGAGGGUGAGAGCCCCGUAUAGUCGGACACCUAGCCUCUGUAAAGCUCCUUCGACGAGUCGAGUAGUUUGGGAAUGCUGCUCAAAAUGGGAGGUAUAUCUCUUCUAAAGCUAAAUAUAGGCCAGAGACCGAUAGCGCACAAGUAGAGUGAUCGAAAGAUGAAAAGCACUUUGAAAAGAGGGUUAAAUAGCACGUGAAAUUGUUGAAAGGGAAGCGCUUGUGACCAGACUUGUGCCGGGCUGAUCAUCCAGUGUUCUCACUGGUGCACUCGACCCGGCUCAGGCCAGCGUCGGUUGUCGCGGGGGGAUAAAAGCUUCGGGAACGUGGCUCCUCCGGGAGUGUUAUAGCCCGUUGCUUAAUACCCCCGCGGCGACCGAGGUUCGCGCUCUGCAAGGACGCUGGCAUAAUGGUCAUCAGCGACCCGUCUUGAAACACGGACCAAGGAGUCGAGGUUUUGCGCGAGUGUUUGGGUGUAAAACCCGCACGCGUAAUGAAAGUGAACGUAGGUGAGAGCUUCGGCGCAUCAUCGACCGAUCCUGAUGUAUUCGGAUGGAUUUGAGUAAGAGCGUAGAGCCUCGGACCCGAAAGAUGGUGAACUAUGCCUGAAUAGGGUGAAGCCAGAGGAAACUCUGGUGGAGGCUCGCAGCGGUUCUGACGUGCAUAUCGAUCGUCAAAUUUGGGCAUGGGGGCGAAAGACUAAUCGAACCAUCUAGUAGCUGGUUACCGCCGAAGUUUCCCUCAGGAUAGCAGUGUUGUUCUUCAGUUUUAUGAGGUAAAGCGAAUGAUUAGGGACUCG